RNAcentral lists this transfer RNA (64 nucleotides) under Marenzelleria neglecta. RNAcentral describes it as "tRNA-Leu". Lineage: Eukaryota; Metazoa; Annelida; Polychaeta; Spionida; Spionidae. The record is from RNAcentral.
AAUAUGUUGGCAGACUAGUGCACUUGAUUUAGGCUCAAAAAAUGAAAUUAUAUUUCACAUAUUA